This 195-nucleotide ribosomal RNA is filed under the name Phytophthora infestans T30-4. RNAcentral describes it as "5.8S ribosomal RNA". It matches the Rfam family "5.8S ribosomal RNA". Rfam says of the family: 5.8S ribosomal RNA (5.8S rRNA) is a component of the large subunit of the eukaryotic ribosome. It is transcribed by RNA polymerase I as part of the 45S precursor that also contains 18S and 28S rRNA. Functionally, it is thought that 5.8S rRNA may be involved in ribosome translocation. The record is from Rfam by way of RNAcentral. Lineage: Eukaryota; Oomycota; Peronosporomycetes; Peronosporales; Peronosporaceae.
UUCUUCCAGUGACGAUGACAUUUUGGUGCGUACAUUCGACGAGGAAGAUCCUCAACUCGAGUUGAUGCGUCAGAUGAAUGAGCUAGCGACGCUGAACGACGUGGACCCAACACCGAGGAUUCAGUGAGUCAUCGAAAUUUUGAACGCAUAUUGCACUUCCGGGUUAGUCCUGGAAGUAUGCCUGUAUCAGUGUCC